GACGAACGCUGGCGGCGUGCCUAAUACAUGCAAGUUGAGCGCUGAAGGUUGGUACUUGUACCAACUGGAUGAGCAGCGAACGGGUGAGUAACGCGUGGGGAAUCUGCCUUUGAGCGGGGGACAACAUUUGGAAACGAAUGCUAAUACCGCAUAAAAACUUUAAACACAAGUUUUAAGUUUGAAAGAUGCAAUUGCAUCACUCAAAGAUGAUCCCGCGUUGUAUUAGUUAGUUGGUGAGGUAAAGGCUCACCAAGGCGAUGAUACAUAGCCGACCUGAGAGGGUGAUCGGCCACAUUGGGACUGAGACACGGCCCAAACUCCUACGGGAGGCAGCAGUGGGGAAUCUUCGGCAAUGGACGAAAGUCUGACCGAGCAACGCCGCGUGAGUGAAGAAGGUUUUCGGAUCGUAAAACUCUGUUGGUAGAGAAGAACGUUGGUGAGAGUGGAAAGCUCAUCAAGUGACGGUAACUACCCAGAAAGGGACGGCUAACUACGUG
This 497-nucleotide ribosomal RNA is filed under the name uncultured bacterium. RNAcentral describes it as "partial 16S ribosomal RNA". It matches the Rfam family "Bacterial small subunit ribosomal RNA", at positions 28 to 507 of the family's 1533-position model. The record is from RNAcentral.